This 486-nucleotide ribosomal RNA is filed under the name uncultured bacterium. RNAcentral describes it as "partial 16S ribosomal RNA". It matches the Rfam family "Bacterial small subunit ribosomal RNA", at positions 28 to 523 of the family's 1533-position model. The record is from RNAcentral.
GACGAACGCUGGCGGCGUGCUUAACACAUGCAAGUCGAACGCUGAAGCACCAGCUUGCUGGUGUGGAUGAGUGGCGAACGGGUGAGUAAUACGUGAGUAACCUGCCCUUGACUCUGGGAUAAGCCCGGGAAACUGGGUCUAAUACUGGAUGCUACAUGUCACCGCAUGGUGGUGUGUGGAAAGGGUUUACUGGUCUUGGAUGGGCUCACGGCCUAUCAGCUUGUUGGUGAGGUAAUGGCUCACCAAGGCGACGACGGGUAGCCGGCCUGAGAGGGUGACCGGCCACACUGGGACUGAGACACGGCCCAGACUCCUACGGGAGGCAGCAGUGGGGAAUAUUGCACAAUGGGCGAAAGCCUGAUGCAGCGACGCCGCGUGAGGGAUGACGUCCUUCGGGUUGUAAACCUCUUUCAGCAGGGAAGAAGCCACAAGUGACGGUACCUGCAGAAGAAGCGCCGGCUAACUACGUGCCAGCAGCCGCGGUAA